Long non-coding RNA from Pezoporus flaviventris, 699 nucleotides. RefSeq lists it as uncharacterized. Lineage: Eukaryota; Metazoa; Chordata; Aves; Psittaciformes; Psittacidae. The transcript is spliced from 2 exons. The record is from RefSeq and is a predicted model, not a curated record.
GAAGGCAAUUGCAGAAGCUGGGGGCUGGUGGUAUAAAUCCCAUUGAUCCUGCAAAAGGAAAGUGCUGCUUCUAUGCUUUUAUUUUGUUUGCUGGGCCUUAGGGGCUUUCCUUUUUGUGGAAGGAAAGGGCUCACAGCCACACUCGGGAGCUGUUCUUUAGGGUGUGAAGAAACGAGUUGCCUGUGCUUUGACUGGCAGACUCCACCAACAGUGAAGCUGCUUCGCUCUGACCGUGAGAGUUUCUCCCUCCUGUGUUGAAGAUGAUAAUGUUAUGCGGUGGUGAGAUCAUCUCCCUGGAGAUGAAACUUUGCCAGCAAAGGAGCGAAUCCGUGCUACUGAAUCUCGCUGCUCAGACAUCCGAGAUGUUAAACGGAGCAAUUCAGAAAUGCAUUGGACCAUCUUGGAGACGUGAAGUCUGGCUCCACGAGUGACACAUUAAACACAAACUGCGUGUGGAGCGUAAAUAUGUUUUUGACUUUCUAGCAGAAGAGUCUCAGUUUGCUUUGUUUUGCCCUUGAUUGUAAUGCCAGAAACCAUUCUAAAUACCACUACUCUUGAUGGUGUUAGGAAACAUUAUAUGCCUCAUUUGUUCUCUAAUUUGUAUGGAAACAGCUUACUCCUGCCUUUUGGUUUCUGUAAAGCUUGCUGAUAGCCAGGGAGUCAAAUGCUUUAGUUUUGCUAUGAAUACUUUACUGUAAA